GGGUUGUGGCUUAGUGGUAGAGUGCUCGCCUCGCACGUUUGAGACCCUGGAUUCGAUCCUCAGCCCCA
This 68-nucleotide transfer RNA is filed under the name Marmota monax (woodchuck). RNAcentral describes it as "tRNA.Ala". The record is from RNAcentral. Lineage: Eukaryota; Metazoa; Chordata; Mammalia; Rodentia; Sciuridae.